AGGGUGGCUACAAAGGAUACAACA
This 24-nucleotide non-coding RNA is filed under the name Arabidopsis thaliana (thale cress). The record is from RNAcentral. Lineage: Eukaryota; Viridiplantae; Streptophyta; Magnoliopsida; Brassicales; Brassicaceae.